This 1767-nucleotide small RNA is filed under the name Arabidopsis thaliana (thale cress). RNAcentral's name for it is "ATSL204690". Lineage: Eukaryota; Viridiplantae; Streptophyta; Magnoliopsida; Brassicales; Brassicaceae. The record is from RNAcentral.
UUAUCAUGUCUGCAUCAAAUUUGAACUCAUGGAUACCCUAAAAUACUUGGAUUUUCUUAUUCAUUUUGAUCACUCUUGUUAAUCCAAGUAGGUGACUCUCCUUAUUAGAGCAGUUAACCCAAACCCAAACCUAGACUUUCUUUCAAGCCCUAUAUCACUUGUGAGUGUUUGUGAGGUCUUAUUCCGAUUAAGCUUGGUAGAAAGUGUUAGGUUCGCAACGACAGAGAUAGUGUCUCAUGUAGUUCUAGUUUGCAUUUUUCGGACUAGAUAGGACUAGGUGGGCGCUUAUACUUUGGGUUGGGAUGUGUUUAAAAGAAAAAAAGGGUUGAUUCAUUGAUAAGAAAAGGUAAAAGACUCUAGGUGAAGUAAGCUAAAGAAGCAAAAAAAGUAUAGUAAAGGUUUUGGGAUUUGUAAAGAAAAGAAAGAGUUCUUGUUAGCUAUUGAAGAUGGGCAAAAGCCCUUGGUUUUGAAAUGUUAAAAACAGGAACCUUAGUUGUUAAAGAAAUCCAAAUCCGCUAGAUGUAUCAAAGUGUUGAGAAAGCUUCUCCUAGAGUUAAGAGAAAAGAAAAGAAUGAUUAGAAAAAGGGCUUAAAAGAUUCUUGAAUGCAAAGGGUAGAGUUAAGUUCUUAUAUUGGGAUUGGAGAAGGGAUUACCAUUAGAGCUUCAUUUGAUGUACUCUGGGUAGAUGGAAACUUAUCUCUGUAUGCAUAGCUUGGGACUUACCUUUAGCAUUAUACUAAAGCUUAAUCAUUUUUUGAGAGAUCCCCUGUUACUGAAGCCUAUUUUGUAAGGGACCAUCUUUGUCUCUUGACCUUUUACCUUAGCCAAAUGAGUUCGUUGAUGAUGUAUUGCUUGAUUCAUGUUCCAGAACUAAUGAAUGUUAAAGGGAUUGGUAGAUUUGAAAACUUGUGUAGGUCGAGCAUAUGAGUCGGAUUGAUUGAUGAUGAGGCAUGGCUAACGUUUUUAAGUAGAAUUCGAUCUUGCAGCUUAGAACUUUCCACUUGGACAUUGAUUUCAUCUGGUUUAUCUGGUGCUUUGGCUCUGAGUCCCCGCUUUCAAACCUCACCUCCAGCUUGUUCUUCAUUGUUUGCUUGAGGGCAAGCAAAGACUAAGUUUGGGGGAGUUGAUAAGUGUGUAUUUUGCAUGUUUUGAGCAUCCAUUUGUCAUCACUUUAGCAUCAUAUCAUCACUGUUUUAUACCAUUUCUCAUCAUUUGUCAUCACUUUACAUGUUUAGGAUAGAUUUGCAUGCAUGUUGCAUAUUUGCGUUGAUUUCAGGUGAUUUGGAGCUGUUGACGAGCUAUCUGGAAGAAGCGGACCUGAUCAUGUCAAACCACUCGACCCCGAGGUCGAGUAGGAGCUUCAAGAUCUCAACAGAUCACUCGACCCCCUGGUCGAGUAGAGGACAUCACUACUUCACCACAUCACUCGACCCCGAGGUCGAGUGUCUUCAUCCCAUCACCUGACCAUCACUCGAUCACAUCACUCGACCCCGAGGUCGAGUGUCUUCACCUUCAUCGCCAGACCACUACUCGAUCUCGCCACUCUACCUUGAAGUCGAGUAUCUCCAUCACAACCACUCGACUACAUACUCGAUGGCAAGCUCCAGAGUCUUCUUCAUCCUGCACUCAACCAGACACUCGAGCACAAGGAAGAAAAGAAGACUCCAACUAUUCACUCGACCUCCCACUUGACCACUUAGGUCGAGUACAGUUCUUAAUCCGUCCCAAUACUUCGUCGUUUUGAGUAUUAGGGUUUUGGAAUAUUUU